CAGCCGCCGCGGUAAUACGUAGGGUGCGAGCGUUAAUCGGAAUUACUGGGCGUAAAGCGUGCGCAGGCGGUUGUGUAAGACAGGUGUGAAAUCCCCGGGCUUAACCUGGGAACUGCGCUUGUGACUGCGCAGCUAGAGUAUGGCAGAGGGGGGUGGAAUUCCACGUGUAGCAGUGAAAUGCGUAGAGAUGUGGAGGAACACCGAUGGCGAAGGCAGCCCCCUGGGCCAAUACUGACGCUCAUGCACGAAAGCGUGGGGAGCAAACAGGAUUAGAUACCCGUGUAGUCCCUGUCUCUUAUAC
This 301-nucleotide ribosomal RNA is filed under the name uncultured bacterium. RNAcentral describes it as "partial 16S ribosomal RNA". It matches the Rfam family "Bacterial small subunit ribosomal RNA", at positions 509 to 807 of the family's 1533-position model. The record is from RNAcentral.